RNAcentral lists this ribosomal RNA (483 nucleotides) under uncultured bacterium. RNAcentral's name for it is "partial 16S ribosomal RNA". It matches the Rfam family "Bacterial small subunit ribosomal RNA", at positions 30 to 506 of the family's 1533-position model. The record is from RNAcentral.
AUUGAACGCUGGCGGCAGGCCUAACACAUGCAAGUCGAGCGGAUGAAGGGAGCUUGCUCCUGGAUUCAGCGGCGGACGGGUGAGUAAUGCCUAGGAAUCUGCCUGGUAGUGGGGGAUAACGUCCGGAAACGGGCGCUAAUACCGCAUACGUCCUGAGGGAGAAAGUGGGGGAUCUUCGGACCUCACGCUAUCAGAUGAGCCUAGGUCGGAUUAGCUAGUUGGUGGGGUAAAGGCCUACCAAGGCGACGAUCCGUAACUGGUCUGAGAGGAUGAUCAGUCACACUGGAACUGAGACACGGUCCAGACUCCUACGGGAGGCAGCAGUGGGGAAUAUUGGACAAUGGGCGAAAGCCUGAUCCAGCCAUGCCGCGUGUGUGAAGAAGGUCUUCGGAUUGUAAAGCACUUUAAGUUGGGAGGAAGGGCAGUAAGUUAAUACCUUGCUGUCUUGACGUUACCAACAGAAUAAGCACCGGCUAACUUCGU